RNAcentral lists this long non-coding RNA (226 nucleotides) under Panax ginseng (ginseng). RNAcentral's name for it is "long non-coding RNA (PGIN_LNC013646)". The record is from RNAcentral. Lineage: Eukaryota; Viridiplantae; Streptophyta; Magnoliopsida; Apiales; Araliaceae.
AUCAAUGAAAAAAAAAUAAUCUCCUUUUCGACCUACCAUGUUUGUUCAUCCCUGUUUUGUAUAUCAAAGACACAAAUUAGUUCAUUGAUUCAUUCUCCCCACGCCUUUUGAUUCUUGUUAGGUUUAAAUUAAUUCUCAAAUAUCCCUUAUUCACACAACAAAGAUUAAUGGGUAGCAUAUAAGUAAAUAAAAUUUGAACUCAUCAAACUUUUACAUUGAGACUCGU